AGUCAGUAAAUGAAUUUUCUUUUGAUUUUAUAUCUUAAGUGUUUUUCUUUCUCUCAUAGAUCUGCUCAUGUGGUCUCAAGCCACAGAGAGUCUAACAAACAUACCAGUAACUUUAGGAGCUGAUGUUAUUAUAACCUGUGAUCUUGAUAUAAAGGAGAUUUACUGGUACAAACUGAAAUUACCGGAUCCUCCAGUGUUGAUCUUACGCACUUAUGAUAGCACAUAUGAAGGAGCUAAAUAUGAAAACAGCAUCUUUGAACACAAAUACUUAGUGAAAACUAACAGUCGUCUGUUCAUCAAAAAUAUCACCAUUGAAGAAUUAGGAGUUUAUUAUUGCGUGAAAACUAGUGAACCACAAAAAUUCAAUAACGGCACCAAAAUCUACAUCAGCGACUUUGUCCAAAAGAAUAUUACAGACUCAGUCCACAGGAAUCAGACAGAUGAUGCUCCACAACACCAGAUACCAUGGAAAACUCUGACCAUCACAUCUGUCCUGAUAAUUGUGCUUUUGACCAUUGCAUUAAUAGGUAUGGUGAAGAGCUACCUGGAUGCAACUGGAAAAUCUGCAGCUCAGAACUCAAAUAAUCCACAGUGUGCUGAAAUUGAUUUUUCCAUGUGCUCCAGUAGCACCAGGCCUUGCCAGGAGCAGAGCACUACUGUCUACUACAGCCAAUGUAUGAUGUAAUAUACAGAUUAUUGUAUUAUAAAUACAAAUUGUGCCUACAUAUUAGUUUUUUAUUAUUAUUAUUUUAAAUGGGUGCAUUUAACCUGAUAGGAAAUUUGAACUUUGUUUCAGAACAAGAAUCUUUUUCAUGAAUUAUAUAAUUAUGUUACCUUUUAUAAGUUUGCUGCUUUGUAUCUAAAUAUGCAGUGUUAUAGGUACUAAUGAAACAUUAUUUGCUGGUACUGUUUUGAGUGGAGAUCAUGCUUAUAUAUAGUAAUAAUAAUCUUUUUUUUCUAUGUUAUAUGUAAGUGUGCUGA
This is a long non-coding RNA of Ctenopharyngodon idella (grass carp), 981 nucleotides long. RefSeq lists it as uncharacterized. The record is from RefSeq and is a predicted model, not a curated record. The transcript is spliced from 4 exons. NCBI's taxonomy places the organism in Eukaryota, Metazoa, Chordata, Actinopteri, Cypriniformes, Xenocyprididae.